UUCGGUAGGUGAACCUGCGGAAGGAUCAUUGCACACACGAGUUGCAGCAAACCACGCGGCGAACCAACACGUUGUCCCCCCCCUUCCGGUGGCCUCGGCCGCGGCGGCUAAACCCCGUCGCGUCCGUCGUCGCCGCGUCGGAAUUUUGCUACCGAAUCACUUCGACCAAAUGACUUAGUCCCAUUUUGGACCCCUUAACUUCUAGUUAGGGGGCGAGAUGAACAUAAAGUUGUGAACACAACUCUCAGCAACGGAUAUCUUGGCUCCUGCAACGAUGAAGAACGCAGCGAAAUGCGAUACCUAGUGUGAAUUGCAGAAUUCCGCGAAUCAUUGAGUCUUUGAACGCAAGUUGCGCCCGAGGCUCGACCGAGGGCAUUUCCGUUAGAGCGUCACCGCGCGCCCCCACCGAGCUCCCCAACCAAGGGAGGAGGAGUUCGAGUGCAAUUGGCCGUCCCGAGUUUGUUGCCCUUUGUUGUGGAAUCGGAAUCGGGUCGGCCGAAGUACCUUGGCAGACUCCGUGGCGACACGGCCCACGAUCGGGUGAUCCGAGCCCUUCUAAAGGGGCUCGGAAUUUUUCUAAGUGUGCGGCCGCGCCGCCCCGUGUGUCCCGAAGGAGAGUGUUACAUUGAAGUGAGCAGUGGAACCAGAGUGUUACCAGAGUUACGCACCAGACCUCUAAUCGGGAAA
Molecule: ribosomal RNA, 687 nt
Filed under: Aulacomnium acuminatum
Lineage: Eukaryota; Viridiplantae; Streptophyta; Bryopsida; Aulacomniales; Aulacomniaceae
Description: eukaryotic LSU rRNA
Rfam family: 5.8S ribosomal RNA (bases 240-392)
Source: RNAcentral